GUGGAUUAGAUACCCUGGUAGUCCACGCCCUAAACGAUGAGGGCUGGGUGUCGGCAGGGUUUCCUGUCGGUGCCGAAGCCAACGCGUUAAGCCCUCCGCCUGGGGACUACGAACGCAAGUUUAAAACUCAAAGGAAUAGACGGGGGCCCGCACAAGCAGCGGAGCGUGUGGUUCAAUUCGAUGUAACACGAAGAACCUUACCAGGGCUUGACAUGUAUGUGGUAGGGAAGUGAAAGCGGACCGACCCGCAAGGGAGCGUACACAGGUGCUGCACGGUCGUCGACAGCU
This 288-nucleotide ribosomal RNA is filed under the name uncultured bacterium. Its description in RNAcentral is "partial 16S ribosomal RNA". It matches the Rfam family "Bacterial small subunit ribosomal RNA", at positions 773 to 1060 of the family's 1533-position model. The record is from RNAcentral.